UGAACGCUGGCGGCAGGCCUAACACAUGCAAGUCGAGCGGCAGCACGGGUACUUGUACCUGGUGGCGAGCGGCGGACGGGUGAGUAAUGCCUAGGAAUCUGCCUGGUAGUGGGGGAUAACGCUCGGAAACGGACGCUAAUACCGCAUACGUCCUACGGGAGAAAGCAGGGGACCUUCGGGCCUUGCGCUAUCAGAUGAGCCUAGGUCGGAUUAGCUAGUUGGUGAGGUAAUGGCUCACCAAGGCGACGAUCCGUAACUGGUCUGAGAGGACGAUCAGUCACACUGGAACUGAGACACGGUCCAGACUCCUACGGGAGGCAGCAGUGGGGAAUAUUGGGCAAUGGGCGAAAGCCUGAUCCAGCCAUGCCGCGUGUGUGAAGAAGGUCUUCGGAU
Molecule: ribosomal RNA, 393 nt
Filed under: uncultured bacterium
Lineage: Bacteria
Description: bacterial SSU rRNA
Rfam family: Bacterial small subunit ribosomal RNA
Source: RNAcentral